ACGGGGGGAGCAAGCGUUGUUCGGAUUUACUGGGCGUAAAGGGCGCGUAGGCGGCCACCGCAAGUCGACUGUGAAAUCUCCGGGCUUAACCCGGAAAGGUCAGCCGAUACUGCGGGGCUAGAGUGCAGAAGGGGCAACUGGAAUUCUCGGUGUAGCGGUGAAAUGCGUAGAUAUCAGGAGGAACACCCGUGGUGUAGACGGCUUGCUGGACAGUCACUGACGCUGAGGCACGAAAGCGUGGGGAGCAAACAGGA
Molecule: ribosomal RNA, 254 nt
Filed under: uncultured prokaryote
Description: partial 16S ribosomal RNA
Rfam family: Bacterial small subunit ribosomal RNA
Source: RNAcentral